Prunus avium (sweet cherry) is the source of this 277-nucleotide non-coding RNA. NCBI's taxonomy places the organism in Eukaryota, Viridiplantae, Streptophyta, Magnoliopsida, Rosales, Rosaceae. The record is from RefSeq and is a predicted model, not a curated record.
CCAGCGAAGGCUUUGCAAUAUCUGCAUCACCUCGGGAUUGUACAUAGGGAUGUGAAACCGGCAAAUAUUCUUCUGGACAAAGAUCUUUAUCCACACUUAGCAGACUUUGGUUUGGCUGAGUACAAGAAAGAUCUUAAAGGAGUUUCUAUUGGGAAUUGGAGGUCAUCUGGAAAACCUGCUGGUGGUUUCCACAAAAAAAAGCCAUGGUUGGCACACUCAUUUACAUGGCACCUGAAAUACUAAAGAAGGAAAUACAUACAGAAAAAUCAGAUGUCUA